Molecule: transfer RNA, 77 nt
Filed under: Mycoplasmopsis mucosicanis
Lineage: Bacteria; Bacillati; Mycoplasmatota; Mycoplasmoidales; Metamycoplasmataceae
Description: Mycoplasma mucosicanis tRNA-Arg
Rfam family: tRNA
About the family: Transfer RNA (tRNA) molecules are approximately 80 nucleotides in length. Their secondary structure includes four short double-helical elements and three loops (D, anti-codon, and T loops). Further hydrogen bonds mediate the characteristic L-shaped molecular structure. tRNAs have two regions of fundamental functional importance: the anti-codon, which is responsible for specific mRNA codon recognition, and the 3' end, to which the tRNAs corresponding amino acid is attached (by aminoacyl-tRNA synthetases). tRNAs cope with the degeneracy of the genetic code in two manners: having more than one tRNA (with a specific anti-codon) for a particular amino acid; and 'wobble' base-pairing, i.e. permitting non-standard base-pairing at the 3rd anti-codon position.
Source: RNAcentral
GCGCCCGUAGCUCAACUGGACAGAGUGCUAGGUUUCGGCCCUAGAGGUUGCGGGUUCAACUCCUGCCGGGCGCGCCA